UGGGGAAGGAAGCAGACAAUGUGGAUGUGACUGGGAGAAUCUACUGGAGGAAGGAAACAAUGUGGAUGUGACUGGGAGCAUCUACUGUGGAAGGAAAUAGACAGUGUGGAUGUGACUGGGAGAAUCUACUGUGGGAGGAAGUAGACAAUGUGGAUGUGACUGGAAGAAUCUACUGGGGAAGGAAGCAGACAAUGUAGAUGUGACUUGGAGAAUCUACUGGGGAAGGAAGCAGACAAUGUGGAUGUGACUGGGAGAAUCUACUGGGGAAGGAAGCAGACAAUGUGGAUGUGACUGGGAGAAUCUACUGGGGAAGGAAGCAGACAAUGUGGAUGUGACUUGGAGAAUCUACUGGAGGAGGAAGUAGACAAUGUGGAUGUGACUGGGAGAAUCUACUGUGGAAGGAAAUAGACAGUGUGGAUGUGACUGGGAGAAUCUACUGUGGGAGGAAGUAGACAAUGUGGAUGUGACUGGAAGAAUCUACUGGGGAAGGAAGCAGACAAUGUAGAUGUGACUUGGAGAAUCUACUGGGGAAGGAAGCAGACAAUGUGGAUGUGACUGGGAGAAUCUACUGGGGAAGGAAGCAGACAAUGUGGAUGUGACUGGGAGAAUCUACUGGAGGAGGAAGUAGACAAUGUGGAUGUGACUGGGAGCAUCUACUGGAGGAGGAAGUAGACAAUGUGGAUGUGACUGGGAGAAUCUACUGGGGAAGGAAGUAGACAAUGUGGAUGUGACUGGAAGAAUCUACUGGGGGAGGAACUAGACAAUGUGGAUGUGACUGGGAGAAUCUACUGGAGGAGGAAGUAGACAAUGUGGAUGUGACUGGGAGAAUCUACUGGAGGAGGAAGUAGACAAUGUGGAUGUGACUGGGAGAAUCUACUGUGGAAGGAAGCAGACAAUGUGGAUGUGACUGGGAGAAUCUACUGGAGGAGGAAGUAGACAAUGUGGAUGUGACUGGGAGAAUCUACUGGAGGAGGAAGCAGACAAUGUGGAUGUGACUGGGAGAAUCUACUGGGGAAGGAAGCAGACAAUGUGGAUGUGACUGGAAGAAUCUACUGGAGGAGGAAGUAGACAAUGUGGAUGUGACUGGGAGAAUCUACUGGGGAAGGAAGCAGACAAUGUGGAUGUGACUGGGAGAAUCUACUGGGGGAGGAAGUAGACAAUGUGGAUGUGACUGGGAGAAUCUACUGGAGGAGGAAGUAGACAAUGUGGAUGUGACUGGGAGAAUCUACUGGAGGAUGAAGUAGACAAUGUGGAUGUGACUGGGAGAAUCUACUGGGGAAGGAAGCAGACAAUGUGGAUGUGACUGGGAGAAUCUACUGGAGGAGGAAGUAGACAAUGUGGAUGUGACUUGGAGAAUCUACUGGAGGAGGAAGUAGACAAUGUGGAUGUGACUGGGAGAAUCUACUGGG
RNAcentral lists this long non-coding RNA (1409 nucleotides) under Salmo salar (Atlantic salmon). RNAcentral's name for it is "lncRNA (ENSSSAG00000111675.1)". The record is from RNAcentral. Lineage: Eukaryota; Metazoa; Chordata; Actinopteri; Salmoniformes; Salmonidae.